GGUAAGGUGAUAUGAACCGUUAUAACCGGCGAUACCCGAAUGGGGAAACCCAGUGUGACUCGUCACACUAUCAUUAACUGAAUCCAUAGGUUAAUGAGGCGAACCGGGGGAACUGAAACAUCUAAGUACCCCGAGGAAAAGAAAUCAACCGAGAUUCCCCCAGUAGCGGCGAGCGAACGGGGAGGAGCCCAGAGCCUGAAUCAGCAUGUGUGUUAGUGGAAGCGUCUGGAAAGGCGCGCGAUACAGGGUGACAGCCCCGUACACAAAAGCGCAUGUGCUGUGAGCUCGAUGAGUAGGGCGGGACACGUGGUAUCCUGUCUGAAUAUGGGGGGACCAUCCUCCAAGGCUAAAUACUCCUGACUGACCGAUAGUGAACCAGUACCGUGAGGGAAAGGCGAAAAGAACCCCGGCGAGGGGAGUGAAAAAGAACCUGAAACCGUGUACGUACAAGCAGUGGGAGCACCCUUUGGGUGUGACUGCGUACCUUUUGUAUAAUGGGUCAGCGACUUAUAUUCUGUAGCAAGGUUAACCGAAUAGGGGAGCCGGAGGGAAACCGAGUCUUAAC
This 565-nucleotide ribosomal RNA is filed under the name Salmonella enterica. Its description in RNAcentral is "partial 23S ribosomal RNA". It matches the Rfam family "Bacterial large subunit ribosomal RNA", at positions 80 to 688 of the family's 2925-position model. The record is from RNAcentral. Lineage: Bacteria; Pseudomonadati; Pseudomonadota; Gammaproteobacteria; Enterobacterales; Enterobacteriaceae.